Molecule: ribosomal RNA, 460 nt
Filed under: uncultured bacterium
Lineage: Bacteria
Description: partial 16S ribosomal RNA
Rfam family: Bacterial small subunit ribosomal RNA
Source: RNAcentral
CCUACGGGAGGCUGCAGUGAGGAAUAUUGGUCAAUGGACGAGAGUCUGAACCAGCCAAGUAGCGUGAAGGAUGACUGCCCUAUGGGUUGUAAACUUCUUUUAUAUGGGAAUAAAACGUUCCACGUGUGGGAUUUUGUAUGUACCAUAUGAAUAAGGAUCGGCUAACUCCGUGCCAGCAGCCGCGGUAAUACGGAGGAUCCGAGCGUUAUCCGGAUUUAUUGGGUUUAAAGGGAGCGUAGGUGGAUUGUUAAGUCAGUUGUGAAAGUUUGCGGCUCAACCGUAAAAUUGCAGUUGAAACUGGCAGUCUUGAGUACAGUAGAGGUGGGCGGAAUUCGUGGUGUAGCGGUGAAAUGCUUAGAUAUCACGAAGAACUCCGAUUGCGAAGGCAGUUCACUGGACUGAAACUGACACUGAGGCUCGAAAGUGUGGGUAUCAAACAGGAUUAGAUACCCCAGUAGUC